This 76-nucleotide transfer RNA is filed under the name Acholeplasmatales bacterium. Its description in RNAcentral is "tRNA-Glu". It matches the Rfam family "tRNA". From Rfam's summary of the family: Transfer RNA (tRNA) molecules are approximately 80 nucleotides in length. Their secondary structure includes four short double-helical elements and three loops (D, anti-codon, and T loops). Further hydrogen bonds mediate the characteristic L-shaped molecular structure. tRNAs have two regions of fundamental functional importance: the anti-codon, which is responsible for specific mRNA codon recognition, and the 3' end, to which the tRNAs corresponding amino acid is attached (by aminoacyl-tRNA synthetases). tRNAs cope with the degeneracy of the genetic code in two manners: having more than one tRNA (with a specific anti-codon) for a particular amino acid; and 'wobble' base-pairing, i.e. permitting non-standard base-pairing at the 3rd anti-codon position. Lineage: Bacteria; Bacillati; Mycoplasmatota; Mollicutes; Acholeplasmatales. The record is from RNAcentral.
CGCCCGUUAGUGGAAUGGCUAACACGUCACACUCUCACUGUGAAGACUAUGAGUUCGAACCUCAUACGGGUGACCA